RNAcentral lists this long non-coding RNA (1185 nucleotides) under Brachypodium distachyon (stiff brome). RNAcentral's name for it is "long non-coding RNA (BDIS_LNC000521)". Lineage: Eukaryota; Viridiplantae; Streptophyta; Magnoliopsida; Poales; Poaceae. The record is from RNAcentral.
GAUUCCGGCCGAGGGGCGAGGGGCGGCGGUGGCAGUCGGGCGCGGGCACGAGGAGAGGAAAGCGAGAGAGAGAGAGUGAGAAAGAAGGGGCGGGGGGGGGGGGGUUAGGAAUAACCCUUUGCCGGCGGCCCCGAGAAAAGGCCACCGGCAAAGGCCUUUUUUAUUUAUUUUUUUAUUUUUUCCCGAUGUCCCUCCUUCGAAUUGAACCGGGAAGAAAAAAAAUAACACUUUGCCGGUGGCCCCAAGAAAAGGCCGCAGGCAAAGGCAUUUUAUUUUUAUUUUUUCCCAACUGUCCCCGUUCGAAUUGAACCGAAGAAAAAAAAAAGAAAUUAACCCUUUGCCUGCGGCCCCGAAAAAUAGCUGUCGGCAAAGGUGGCUUUGCCGAAGGCCCACAUAAUAGCCGCCGGCAAAGUUUUUUUCUUCCCUUUUUUGUUUAUUUUGUGAUGUAAAUCAACCAUAUUGUAAACACAUAGAGCGAUAUAUAUUACUGUUUAGAUUGAACCCAAUUUGCACUUAUAAAAUAAAAAAAACAAAUUACUCAUUGCCGGCGGCCGUUUUGGUGAAAAGCUAGUCACAAAACACUAAGGAACACUCAAACCCAAGCCCUAGAGUGAGGAAAACACGUAAUUCGGACCGACGGAGCAGAAUCCUUUGAUGACUUGGGUAGCUUUUUGGUUUUUCAUGUCCCCAUGUGCUAGUACAACACAAACGUAGAGUAAAGUGACUUGAGAACACAAGUUUUGGUGAAAAGCUAGCCCGGAGACGCCACGAGGCCCGCAGGAGGGGGCGAUGCCUGAAAUCACACGACGGAUGGUCCAGAGAACUUGAAAUCUUGGAUGAUGUCAUCAAAUGGGUUCAUAGAGGUGGUGUUAAAAGGAAAACACAAUCCAAAUAUCUGAGGUUGCACUUCCUUCACAAACUAGACUAACCCGCACAGAAGUUCCGGACUUGGGGGGGAAAAGUCGCAAUUCGGACGGACGGAGCAGAAUUCUUUAAGAAAUUGGGUAGAUUUUUGGUUUUUCAUGUUCAAAUGUCCUAAUAGAACAAAAAGGAAGUCUAAACUGACAUGAAAACCCCAAUGUUUUGUGAAUAAAUAAAGUAAAAACUGGAGAGAAAAAAAGUGAACUGAGCCUAGCUCAGCUGGUCUGGUUCCUUAUGGUGGAACCAGCCCACCCAGAUCAAAGU